RNAcentral lists this long non-coding RNA (2352 nucleotides) under Triticum aestivum (bread wheat). RNAcentral's name for it is "long non-coding RNA (TAES_LNC014816)". Lineage: Eukaryota; Viridiplantae; Streptophyta; Magnoliopsida; Poales; Poaceae. The record is from RNAcentral.
UUUUAUCGACAUAAUAAUUCAGAAGGUAAAUGCAUUACACCUCAAUCAAGUAUUCGCUAUACAUCAUGAAAAUGAAUUGGCGGUGAAAUCUUUGCCUUCAUGUUACAAAUUUCGCUUGCAUUCAGAUCUAUCUUUUGUGAACUGAAUAACUAGAGUCCAGCUGAAUGAGAUGUUCCGUUCAUGGCAUAAAAAUUCAGAAUUCUUCUAUCUUCUUCUUGCUUUGGCAGCUUCAGUCAGGCUUUUGAAUUUGUGGCAAGCAUCAACAGGUCGAGCAGAUGCACGUGGUUGUGGUUGUGCUAAACAGAAAAUCGUAUUCUGAACAAAGCAGCCCAGCCAGAAAACAAGGAAAUAAGGAAUACAUUAAGUACCAAAUACCUGUAUACACAGAGAUUUGUUUCAUCUGUAUAGAACAAGUAGUAUAUCAUCAUGAAUUUCAAUCUCAAGACAAUGGUCUUUCACCCAAAUGAAGCUUCUAGUUAGAUCCAUGCAUAACAGUGCCAGAAGAUCUAAAUACGUGCUCAUAUGAGAGCUAACUACUUCACUACAUUUUAUUUUGCAGGGAGAGAGUUAGCUAUUUCUCAACUACAAAAUUUAGCAUCCAAUUGAUUGAUAAGAUUUUAGUCCUCAACAUAUUUAUUAAUGAUAUUAUAUCCAAAACUGUACAGAAACUGCAAGUGCUUCAGUUCUAUAUUGCCCAAACAAUCUAUGGAGAUGCAGAUUGCAAAAGAAAACCAGAAAACUGAAGCCGACGCUAAUUUGCAUUACUAAUUGUGGAAAUUCAUCAAUACAUUUGUUGACGACUAGAAGCUUAUCAUCUUCUUUCAACUGUGAAAAUGGCACGCCUGGGGAUGCCUUUUGUGAUAUAAUUCCUACCUGAAAACGUAAUUUCCUAAUUUUUAUGUGAAAAUCAAUGAUUGCACCCAAAAAACUCAAAAAAUAAUAGUAAACUCUACAAGAAGUAUGUGAAGUGUUUACUUUAACUCGAGCAUGAGGUAUAUCUACUUUAAACCCAUACAUAUAUGGUAGGAAAGUCACAUAUGCAUUCUAAAUAGAUAGGAAUCCCAAAAAUGAUUUAUUUUAUUCUAGUAGGAAAUUUUAGCAGCACCUCCAGAAUAUACAUUAAGUAGUAACAUUAUAAUAAUGUUUGGAGGAGCUACUAGCUGUAGGUAUGACUCUGAGCUACUAGCGGCACCUCAACAAUAUAUUUUGCAGCAAGAUCUGCUCAUCAUGUAUUGUGGUACAACGAUAUAUCGUAGAACAAAACAUUUCUCCCAUACCUUCCCAAAAAAAGCCAAGAGAAAUUCAGUGACUUUGAUAAGGCAAUCAGGCUAUACAACUAAAGUCAGUUCACAAAAGGGGAAUUCUGCAGAGGAAGAAAAAUGUAUGUUUUGAGGGAGCAUAUGUACAUGGUGAGGCCACACCUGGAUCCCUAACACAAAAAGAUUGAACUAAGGAAUGAGAGGUGCUUCAAACAACAUCAAGAACAACACUAGUUGGACAAAAAUACCUUCCUUUUGGAAUUGGAUAUGGGUAUCUCGAUAAGAAUCAGGAAACAGUACAAGAACUUGGCCAACAAAAUUAGCAUCUAGAAAGUACGCAAACUACAAUGAAGAAAAACGAUGCUGAGGUCGCAGCCAUCCUAGGAUUGUGGCGGAUACGCCAAGAAAAUUCUGAUAUUAUAAGCCUGAGCAUAUGAAUGUUUAUUUCACAUAGAAUGGUAAUUUCAUGCUCCUCUCAAUACAACAGACAUGAGUGAUUCCUUGACAAGUAAUUUUCCCCAUCACAACUUACCAUCCCCGUUUUGAUGUCAAACUCAUGCAAACAAAUUCGGAUGCACUCUUGAUGACACAAACAUCCUCCAGUCUAUCAAAAAAUAGGUAGGAAUCCCCAUUUACAUCAUUACAUGAGCUCAUGAAGUAGGAGGAGAGACCAAACUUGAAGAGGAGGUCGAUGAUACCUACGUAGAUUGUAAUGACUCAAGGGCGGCUGGUGAAAUCUCUAGAUCCUUCCAAUCGGGGAGGUGAGGAUGGGACAGGAGAGAAACAGUCCCCGAGCUUGCAGAGCGCGGGGAAGCGACCAAGCGCCGGCGUGGAGCUGAGGUCGCGCUUGGACGAGGCGGCGGCGUCGCUUCCGUUGAAUUGGAUCACGCCGGCGGGACGACCUCUUCUCCUCGUACAAAGCCACCGGAGCUAGUUCACGACCGCAGGGAUAUAGUGACCUGUUUUGCUGGCCUUCGGCGAUGGGGAACCGUCGUGGCGGCGGUGGAUGGACGGUCUGGUGGAGAUGGUGUGGAAUAUGGCACCUCCCCUACCAGUCUCCCACGACCCAUAGAAAGUGGGCUUUCUUCCAAAA